CCUACGGGAGGCAGCAGUGGGGAAUAUUGGUCAAUGGGCGAAAGCCUGAACCAGCAAUGCCGCGUGAGUGAUGAAGGCCUUCGGGUUGUAAAGCUCUGUCAGAGGGAAAGAAAAAUUCGAUUAAUAGUCGAACUUGACGGUACCCUCAAAGGAAGCACCGGCUAACUCUGUGCCAGCAGCCGCGGUAAUA
Molecule: ribosomal RNA, 190 nt
Filed under: uncultured bacterium
Lineage: Bacteria
Description: partial 16S ribosomal RNA
Rfam family: Bacterial small subunit ribosomal RNA
Source: RNAcentral